GACAACAUCUAUCCCGAAAGUGUAGGAGUCCUUGGACAGAGUUGGACUUCCUUGUCGGCAACCUUGCCAAUUCCAUCUUGUUCGUAGAAAACAUGGUAAGAGCAAGGAUGGAUUUAUGCAAAUUCAUGUCGUUGAUGCGGGAUCGCGUCGGCCCUCCCUUGUGCUAGCCAGCCAUCAGGAAGCUCCUGGAUGUGCUAUGCAUGACCUCAUCCUCGUGCUCAUCGGUUGGACGGUGCAAGGCGCAACUCCGAUGCAGCGUCGUGGAUGUGCGGUGUAGGAAGCGGUUCCUUGCCGGCUGGACGGCGUUCAGGCGCCACCCCGGCGCCCACUGAGUACUGCCUCAGCUACAACCUCCCUCGGGGGGGUGCAAAACUGGAUGGUGGCUCUGUUGUUCUCGGUGAUGAUCUUGCUGCUACCUCUAGUAAAUCAACUGAUGACCUGGCGGCAGAAGGAGACGGCUCCAAUGUGGCUAAAAGGCUCAAGCUGUAGUUCAGGCGGCAUUGGAGAGCCUAUUCUUUUGGUGUGUCUGUCCACUGCCUUUUCUAUCAUUAACUACCUUUUGUGCUAUACCCAAUUUGGUUUUCAUUUUAGCUUCUGUUUUUUCAGGAUCACACUGUUGGUUAUGUGCGUGCUCGAAGUGAUCACCUAGCGAAUGGACAUCUCGACGCG
Triticum dicoccoides is the source of this 669-nucleotide long non-coding RNA. RefSeq lists it as uncharacterized. The record is from RefSeq and is a predicted model, not a curated record. Lineage: Eukaryota; Viridiplantae; Streptophyta; Magnoliopsida; Poales; Poaceae. The transcript is spliced from 4 exons.